ACGGAUUAGUGGCGAACGGGUGAGUAACACGUGAAUAACCUGCCCUCAAUUUCGGAAUAACCCAGGGAAACCCGGGCUAAUACCGGAUAAGUAAACCUGUGGCAUCACAUGGUUUUGGAAAGUUUUUCGAUUGAGGAUGGAUUCGCGGCCUAUCAGCUUGUUGGUGAGGUAAUGGCUCACCAAGGCGACGACGGGUAGCCGGCCUGAGAGGGUGGACGGCCACACUGGGACUGAGACACGGCCCAGACUCCUACGGGAGGCAGCAGUGGGGAAUAUUGCGCAAUGGACGAAAGUCUGACGCAGCGACGCCUCGUGAGGGACGAAGGUCUUCGGAUUGUAAACCUCUUUCAGCAGGGACGAAGCGAAAGUGACGGUACCUGCAGAAGAAGCACCGGCUAACUAUGUGCCAGCAGCCGCGGUAAUACAUAGGGUGCAAGCGUUGUCCGGAUUUAUUGGGCGUAAAGAGUUCGUAGGCGGUUUUUCGCGUCGGAUGUGAAAACUCAGGGCUCAACCCUGA
RNAcentral lists this ribosomal RNA (517 nucleotides) under uncultured Actinomycetales bacterium. Its description in RNAcentral is "bacterial SSU rRNA". It matches the Rfam family "Bacterial small subunit ribosomal RNA", at positions 87 to 618 of the family's 1533-position model. The record is from RNAcentral. Lineage: Bacteria; Bacillati; Actinomycetota; Actinomycetes; Actinomycetales.